Non-coding RNA from Vicugna pacos (alpaca), 451 nucleotides. Lineage: Eukaryota; Metazoa; Chordata; Mammalia; Artiodactyla; Camelidae. The record is from RefSeq and is a predicted model, not a curated record.
AGUGUCGCUGUCAAAAGAAUUACAUCACCCUACAGUAUGCAUCGCAAGAAACCAUGUGUCAGCCUAUCAGUUAACGGUGCAGAGUUGAUGUGGGAGAGACUCUGGCUCUGGGCAUGUCUGUUGUGUAAUUUGGAUGAAGUGGACGUUACAGACAGACAGAUGUAAAAAGGGAGUCACAAGCUGAAGAAUGCAGGCAUUUUCUCAAAGCCGGGAAAGGCAAGGAAACAGAUUGACCCCUGAGGGUUCCGGGAAGGAAUGCAGACCUGCUUGAUUUCAGCCUGGUAGAGUUGCCAGGCAACCAUCACGUUAAAAUACACAGGACUAUCAUUGUGGAUCCAUCUUCUCUUGUAACUCCUUUGCUGCCAAAAUGAUGAUGUAUGGAUCCAUCUUCCAGGCACUCUUACUGGAUAAAAAUCUUCUCUUGUAGAAACUGCAGAAUACUCUGGAGGUG